RNAcentral lists this ribosomal RNA (253 nucleotides) under uncultured bacterium. RNAcentral describes it as "partial 16S ribosomal RNA". It matches the Rfam family "Bacterial small subunit ribosomal RNA", at positions 524 to 776 of the family's 1533-position model. The record is from RNAcentral.
UACGUAGGUGGCAAGCGUUAUCCGGAUUUAUUGGGUGUAAAGGGCGUGUAGGCGGGAAUGCAAGUCAGAUGUGAAAACUCAGGGCUCAACCCUGAGCCUGCAUUUGAAACUGUAUUUCUUGAGUGCUGGAGAGGCAAUCGGAAUUCCGUGUGUAGCGGUGAAAUGCGUAGAUAUACGGAGGAACACCAGUGGCGAAGGCGGCCUGCUGGACUGCAACUGACGUUGAGGCCCGAAAGCGUGGGGAGCAAACAGG